This 337-nucleotide long non-coding RNA is filed under the name Homo sapiens (human). Its description in RNAcentral is "long non-coding RNA NONHSAT005709". The record is from RNAcentral. Lineage: Eukaryota; Metazoa; Chordata; Mammalia; Primates; Hominidae.
CAGUGUGUCCCCAAGAAAGUGUCAGAGCCUUUACGUGGACCUUCUCAUGAAAAAGGAAACAGAAUAGUCAAUGGAAAAGGAAAAGGGCCUCCUGCAAAACAUCCUUCCUUGAAGCCUAGCACUGAAGUGGAAGAUCCUGCUGUGAAAGGAGCAGUACAAAGAAAGUAUGUACAGACAUUGAGAGCAGAACAAACCUUACCAGUGGCUUUAGAGGAAGAGCAAGAAAGGUGUGAAAGAAGUGAAAAGAAGCAAUCACAGCUAAUUUUAAAACAUGCACUCUGACAGAAAAGACAUCUGAGAAACAAAACAAGCAAAUUUGUUUUCCAUUUUGCACCUG